GACAGAGGAUGCAAGCGUUAUCCGGAAUGAUUGGGCGUAAAGCGUCUGUAGGUGGUUCGCCAAGUUUUCGUUUAAAUGCCAAGGCUCAACCUUGGAAGUGACGAAAAAACUGGCGAACUCGAGAAUGAGAGAGGUCACUGGAAUUCCUUGUGUAGGAGUGAAAUCCGUAGAUAUAAGGAGGAACACCAAUGGCGUAGGCAGGUGACUGGCUCAUUUCUGACACUGAGGCACGAAAGCGUGGGGAGCGAACGGG
RNAcentral lists this ribosomal RNA (253 nucleotides) under uncultured bacterium. Its description in RNAcentral is "partial 16S ribosomal RNA". It matches the Rfam family "Bacterial small subunit ribosomal RNA", at positions 524 to 776 of the family's 1533-position model. The record is from RNAcentral.